This 324-nucleotide ribosomal RNA is filed under the name Triticum aestivum (bread wheat). RNAcentral's name for it is "partial small subunit ribosomal RNA". The record is from RNAcentral. Lineage: Eukaryota; Viridiplantae; Streptophyta; Magnoliopsida; Poales; Poaceae.
AUGGCGGCUUUCCUCCGGAACCUCUUCCUAGCGACGGCACAGCAGUACUACGGCGGCGUCGACGAUGGUCAGCACAACAUGGAGCGCCGCCUCCGCCUCUACGCCGACGCGUACAUGCUGCUGGCCGUCUCCUUCCUCCUCCGGGCCACGCCCCCUCCGAGCAGCAACGCUGGCGCCGACGCCGUCACCGGGUUCUUGCUCUGGGUUGCCGCCGUGGCUCUUCUGAUCCUGUCCUUCGUGCACCAGCGCUUCCCGGCGGCAGCCGUGGCCGCUGCUGACCUGGCGCAGGCGGCGCUCGAGCCACUGUUCGAGCUUCUCAACUGA